UUCAUUGCCAUUGCAAGGUCGUCAUGCAUGUGCUCGGGUAUUCUGUCGAGCGCUUUGGGCUCCAGGUCAACGAUCCCGAUCUGUAGCAGUACCACGUCAUGCUUCUAGCGAAAGUUGCUACAUGCUAGCUACAUGCUUGUAACGCGUUAUGAGCAAACCUUAUGUUUCCAGUCCACCUGCUAAUGUCGAUUUUUUGCAUCGUGAGCAUCAAGGAACAAUCGCGAGCAGUAAGGGCAACCAGAU
This is a long non-coding RNA of Varroa destructor (honeybee mite), 243 nucleotides long. The record is from RefSeq and is a predicted model, not a curated record. Lineage: Eukaryota; Metazoa; Arthropoda; Arachnida; Mesostigmata; Varroidae.